Biomphalaria glabrata is the source of this 3989-nucleotide long non-coding RNA. RefSeq lists it as uncharacterized. The record is from RefSeq and is a predicted model, not a curated record. The transcript has 2 exons. NCBI's taxonomy places the organism in Eukaryota, Metazoa, Mollusca, Gastropoda, Planorbidae.
ACGGCAGAUAGGACUUAUGUUACCGGUACGUUCACCUUGUGAGAUUUUGCGCUGGUAUUGAUGAAUUAAUGAUGAAUAGUACAUUAACAUAAUAAUGUACCGUACCCGUCAUUUUUAAGGAAUUUCUGAGAUUCAUAAAAUAGGAAAAGAUCUAUCCACCAUCUCUUCUUCAGCCUCCUUUCGUCGUAGCGUGACAGUUUGAGACGAAAGAAAAUCACUUCCACUUUUCGCGAUCAGCAGAUGGCCGGAUAUCAAGAGAGAGAGAGGCCGGUCCACUCCUCCAUAGAAACUGUUUCUUUAAUGCUGCAAGUGUGGUUCUAAAUCUCUAAGCGAUAUAGGCUACACAUUCAUUCCAAUGCAUAGUCAUGACGAACUUAACAAGCAAUGCAAGAUAAUUCUAUGUUCCAUUUACAGGCAGCAGCAAAUUUCACUAUUGCAUCUUUUGGUUAAAGUCAAGGGAUUUUAAAAAGAAAAGAUUCCACUUGAUAUUUAUACAAUUUUUCAGAAAAAAUCAAGCUAAUUUUUUUAAAGCCUGUAUGAAAUUUAUAAGAAAUGGAUUUGUCAUAACAUUAAACAAUGCUUUCAAAUAUAUCCACUACUGACAUGGCAUUUAAGAACUGAAUUGUUGAAUAUUAAAACAAAACUGAUGUUAAAGGACAGUAUAUCACAAUGUGAUACAUAUAUGAAGCACCUACGGAGGAGUUCACAAAAUGAUACAGUGUUACCUAAACGAAAAACAUUAAUCUAUAACUCUAACCAGUCUCGAAAGAGAAUUGUUUAGAAUUCAAUUGUCCAUAAUCCUCCAAUUACUUGUUGGCCAAAUAAAUAUUUUGGCUCCUAAGGUAAUUUUCUUGACUUUAAAUCGGGCAUGUAAUUUUGACAAAGCUUAUAUCUACUCAUUCUGUCUAUCUGCCUGUCUGGUACACGUUAUUCCUCCCACAACCAUUCUCGGAUCAAGCCGAAACUUCGCACAAGUAUCCAUUGGCAUAGACAGGAAAGAAAACUAAUCCUUCAGUAUUCACAGACAUGGCUAAAUUUGUUGGGUUUAGUCCCCUUACAUAAUUGUUAACGCUGCUUCUCCUACACGCAUUCUCCGAUCAAGUUGAUACUUUAAACAAUUAUUUAUUGUAUCUAACAAAAUAUGAAAACAAAAUCGAAUAAGUUAUUUUGUUAGAUGUUGAAUAAGGGAAAUAACUUGUAAAUUAUUGAAAGUUUUAAGGAAGGAGUUCUUAUCUUUUAGAAAAGCUUUGUAUUUUUUUAAAGGAUCUUCAUAUAUAAUUCUCUUCAUGGCUCAACAGUUUGGACACCAAGAAGUAAAGAAAAGAUCAAAUUUUUAUUUCUACAAGUCGGACUAGAGUUACCCCACGAAUAUGUCAGGAGAUUUCAAUGAGUUUUCAAAAGAUUUUAAUAAUUUCGGAGAUUUCCAGGACUUUUUCGUAUAUUUUGCAAUUUCAGAUUUCCAGGACUUCCUGGUAAAUCAGGAAAUGUUAUAAGUUUGAAAAUGGUUUAAUUUAAUAAUUUACACCUAGAAUUAGCGCGAGUCCAAUGAAAGUGCGGGGCCCACUUGGGUCGCAUAGGUUGCCUUCGCCUAAGGCCGGCCCUGCAAAAUAGCGACGAAUGCUACGCCAUGGGUGAACUAGUUUUUUAAAAAUAUUUUGCUUGUUUUUACAAUAACAUUUUUACGUUCACCAAUCUCUAGACCUAACGGGUAUCUAACAAUACCUGAUAGAGCAGUAAAAAGAUUUUAUGCUUGCAGCAUGAAACCAUAACUAUCAAGUGGCCAUAUAAUACCUUACUAGGAGACCUGUGACACACCAACCAAUGUCCACAGAAAUAUGCAUAAUUUGCAUUUGUUCAAAACCUCUUAUUUUGUAAAAUACAGACGUAACUUCAAAGAAAGAAGAUGAUUACGUCCCACGGGUCUCCCUAGGUCAAUCUAGUCAUGCAUGUUAAUCUAUGACUUAAACUCUGCCAAGUCGUUGUUUUCCUGGCUGACUCAAGGCAACCCAUUCAAUGCUCUAAUUGCACUAGAGAAGAAGGACCAUUUAUACAAAUUUGUCCUAGCAUAUGGAACAAGAAGUGUCAGUGUGCCUUUAUCUUUGUGUCUUUCUGAGUAUUUCAUUAGGGUUUGUUUUUGUAUUUGAAGAUAAUGGUUCAUUGUUUUGUGUAUAAUUGCUACUUUAUUUUUAAAGUCUUCUAUCCUGAAGGGUCUCUAAAUUUAAUGACUUCACUAAAGGUGUGUUACUCAAAAAGGGAUGUGCAGUAACUAACUAGAGCCCAAUGCACCAACUGAAUUUUUUUUCUUAUACAAUUACUGUAUUUUAAAAAAAAUGUUUAAAUAUAGUUUAAUGCACAAGAUUUAUAAUUAAAUGCAAAAAUAAAUGAAAACACAAAACUCUGCACACUCUCAUUGAACAGUUCGUGUAUUCUUUAUUUCAAAUGAAGACACAGUACAUUACAAACGAAAAAAAGUCUUUGAAGAUCAUUUAAAAUUGGAACAAAUUUGAUUAAUGGUGUACUUGUAAGUUAGGAUAUGGAAACAGACAUUUCAAUGAACAAACAAAACAAAAUGAGAGAGAAAAUAUAAAUCAAAGAACAGUUACACAUUACUUGGCUAAAAAAAAAAAUAAUGAGUAGUGAACAUGAUUGGAUUGAAUGUCUUCAUGGGGCAGUCUCACAGCUAUGAAGUAAUAACCUGUACACUAGCACUCCCAACACCAGACACACGUGACACAUCACAAGUGGAUUCUUCAGCAGUUCAGUAAACACUUUCACUUCCAUUUGGUCUCCUUUACAGCAUGUCUUUCAAAUGAACACAAAGUGGGCAAGCAAAAGGGGAAAUAAUUCUAUGUAUAAUUAACAACUUUUUUUUUGUUGUCCUACCCAUAACUUUAUUUUUUUGAAUAAAUGUUGAAUUUGAACUAAAUGUUAAUUCUAAAAGUUGUUACAAUCUAGAAAACUUUUGGUCUUUUGUACAAUACAAAAGUUGGGUAACUGAUAAUGGUUUAAUAUUAUCUGGAAGCAAUUUCUAGUAACUUUGAAUGGUGAAAAUCUGAAAUUAAACAACAAGGUUCUGACAUUUUAAAAUAGCUGAGGUCAUGGAAAAGUAACAUUGGAAUGAAAAAUGAAGAUGGUCAUAGUUCCUUUAUAGACAGAAGCAUAAAAAGAAAUUUUCAAGAAUCUUGAAUGAAAAUUUCACUUUGAAAACUAAAUGAUCUAGUAGAUUUUCUGUUCUAUUAUUUGGUCAAAAUCUUUAAAAUAUACAUCCCUUAUUUAUAUUGAUUUACUUAAAAGAGAAAGCUUUGAUGAUCAAUCUGUGGGCUUAUUCACAUUUUUAUUAACCUUUUUGGGCAUAACGUGUGGAUGUCAACCUUUGCUGUUUCAAAACAGUACAAAAACCUAAUCUACUAGCAACAGUGGUUCCUGUUUUGAGACUCAGAAAUAAGAAAUUAAUCUGUUCAGUGAAUAAAUAUCCUUAUUUUAAACAAAUGAUAACUCCAUUACCAAAGGAUUAUGAGCCCUUACUUAGUUAUUUCAGUUACAAAAUUUCCAUAAUGACAAAGUUAGUCAUAUCAGUUAAAUCCCUUAUUAUGAUUACACAGUCAGCAAUACUACACAUAAUCCAGAAAAUAUUUGUUCAGUUUUCAUAUCUAAAAAAGUAUCAAGCACUAAAACACAACUAAGCACAGCAUUAUUUUUAGUACACUGAGCAAAAACUCAGUCAGUAAACUUCAUUUAGUGGAGGCGCAAACCAAAAAGACUAGUUCUUGAUGCUAAGAGUUAUCAUCGUGGAAGUUAUCAAAGCUAUAGCAAUUUUACUUUAGAUUUGUUACACAAUGACUUUUAAAAAUGUUAUUAUUGAGAAUCAUUACACACUGCCAAAGUGAGUUAUAUACUUUUUGUAAAGAAUCAUUAUACUUUUUACUUGACUACAAUUAGUAGGCCUAAUACAAUAAUGAAACUUAGUUGAGAGGUGAUCGCGUUUUUGU